AACUGCUGUCCUGGGCCCAGAGGCUUAGUGCCAAAGGGCCGGGAGAGCCGGAGCAUGCACAGCCUGCACGUUACGCUGGGAAGGGAGCCUGGUCGCAGGGCACACGGCCAGCCCUGGGUGAACUCAGCCUGGCCAGCAGACGGGGCCCAGAACACAAUGCCCUUGGCAUGAAAAACACUGAGAGCCUGGUACAGCUCAGAUAUCUGCCUCUGGCAGGGAUCCUGCCACAGCGAGGACCACCCACCAGGACAGAGCUCCCCUGGGCCAGGGGUGUGGGGAGCAGGGUCCGUUUUCUAUUUCCAGCGCUGAGGUGGCUGAAGCCAUCAGCCCCAGGGUACUGAUGGAUCCAGACUAGCCCUGGGGGAUGCCCAGGUGCUGCGUGCCCAUGACUGACGAAGGCUGCCCAGGGUCGCUGCAGACACUCCCUGUCUGAGCAAAGUUGGACCUGCUGCAGAGUCGGGGAGCUGGAGACUGAAAGCUCCUGUCCGCAGCUGUGGGCUGCAGCCUGGGUUCUUCCCAGCAGUGGUCAGGUACCAGCUCAAGGGAGGGGCUGGGCUGGCUUGUCUCACCCAGACCCUUCCUUCCCCACCCCCAAGGCUCCCCUCCAACCAGCCCUUGGCCAAGCCUCUCCCUGGCUGGUGUGGUUCAUGCCACCAUUGUGGAGCUCACUGUGUUUAGGGGGAUUGGCUAUGACCCCUGCACUGCAGCUCCCUGGAGAGGCCCUGCACCUCAGGCUCUGUCAUUGACUAAUAAAUCCCCCCAUGGCUGGGUUA
Chelonoidis abingdonii (Abingdon island giant tortoise) is the source of this 773-nucleotide non-coding RNA. The record is from RefSeq and is a predicted model, not a curated record. NCBI's taxonomy places the organism in Eukaryota, Metazoa, Chordata, Testudines, Testudinidae.